This 440-nucleotide ribosomal RNA is filed under the name uncultured bacterium. RNAcentral describes it as "partial 16S ribosomal RNA". It matches the Rfam family "Bacterial small subunit ribosomal RNA", at positions 338 to 795 of the family's 1533-position model. The record is from RNAcentral.
CCUACGGGGGGCAGCAGUGGGGAAUAUUGCACAAUGGGCGCAACCCUGAUGCAGCGACGCCGCGUGAGUGAAGAAGUCCUUCGUUAUGUAAAGCUCUUUCAGCAGGGAAGAAAAUGACGGUACCUGAGUAAGAAGCCCCGGCUAACUACGUGCCAGCAGCCGCGGUAAUACGUCGGGGGAAAGCGUUAUCCGGAUUUAAUGGGUGUAAAGGGAGCGUAGACGGCAGUGCAAGUCUGGAGGGAAAGGCGGGGGCUCAACCCCCGGAUUGCACUGGAAACUGGACGGCUUGAGUGCAGGAGAGGUAAGUGGAAUUCCUGGUGUAGCGGUGAAAUGCGUAGAUAUAAGGAGGAACACCAGUGGCGAAGGCGGCUGACUGGACUGAAACUGACGUUGAGGCUCGAAAGCGUGGAGAGCAAACAGGAUUAGAUACCCUGGUAGUC